RNAcentral lists this ribosomal RNA (436 nucleotides) under uncultured bacterium. RNAcentral describes it as "partial 16S ribosomal RNA". It matches the Rfam family "Bacterial small subunit ribosomal RNA", at positions 355 to 781 of the family's 1533-position model. The record is from RNAcentral.
UGGGGAAUCUUCCGCAAUGGACGAAAGUCUGACGGAGCAACGCCGCGUGUAUGAUGAAGGUCUUCGGAUUGUAAAGUACUGUCAUUGGGGAAGAACGGUUUUCUUGAAAAGAUUGGGAAGACAUGACGGUACCCAAGGAGGAAGCCCCGGCUAACUACGUGCCAGCAGCCGCGGUAAUACGUAGGGGGCAAGCGUUGUCCGGAAUUAUUGGGCGUAAAGGGCGCGUAGGCGGGCCUUUAAGUCCGGUGUGAAAGAUCAGGGCUCAACCCUGAGAGUGCAUCGGAAACUGGAGGCCUUGAGGACAGGAGAGGAAAGUGGAAUUCCACGUGUAGCGGUGAAAUGCGUAGAUAUGUGGAGGAACACCAGUGGCGAAUGGCGACUUUCUGGACUGUAACUGACGCUGAGGCGCGAAAGCGUGGGGAGCAAACAGGAUUAG